AUUUCUGUCCACAUCUACAUCCUCUGCAGCUUUUCCAGGAAAGAAGAUUUUCACAAGACCUUGAACUAGACUUGGUGAAAAGUCCUUGUACCGCUGAUGAAGCAAAGAACAGAUCAGCACUGCAGCUUGUAUGUCUGCAGCCCGAAGCUUUGCAUCACAAAUAGCAGUCACUGCUUCACUUACAAACUUGCUUAAGUUGACACUGCGCAACUCUUCCAUCAAACCUUCUCGCUGCUCUUCAUUAAUCUGUUUUAGUUUUUUAAUAACUGCAGUAUUGCGCUUAAUACUAGAAUCCAAUGUCCUUAGAAAACCAGUGUCUGGUCGUUCUGGAUUCAGAUUAUUCUGCCUAAGAGCUAUCUUUGCCUCAACAGAUUUUUUGAAUUCCUCAUGACGAGCCACAGCUUCCUCAUCUUCAUGUUUCUCUGGGUGUUCCACUCCAACACGACAGUCAUCCUCAG
RNAcentral lists this unclassified non-coding RNA (458 nucleotides) under Hevea brasiliensis (rubber tree). The record is from RNAcentral. Lineage: Eukaryota; Viridiplantae; Streptophyta; Magnoliopsida; Malpighiales; Euphorbiaceae.